UUCCAUGACAUAACCUUUGCAUGCAACUCUUGCACUCUCUUCCUUAUUUUUGAUAUCACUGCCAAAUCAAAGGUAGUAAUCAUCUUCAUUUUUGGAACUUGAUGCACCUCCGUUUUACAUGUAUAAAUCCUUAAGAACUUGGUGAUAUUCGUUCCAUCAAAUCUCCCAAUCUUGUCCACUACAACUUGUAAGCCUUAGUGGUGCUCCUAUCUUCUCCAUGCACCUGUUGCCUUUCCUAUAUAAAUUGAGCAAAUAUCCUGAAUAAAUCAUAGGCACCUACACCUCUUGGUAAUCCAAACCCUGGAUUUUUAUCCCCCAUUUUAACUUAUUGAGGAAAUUAGUGCCUUAAGGCUCUCUCAGUGGAAGCACCAAGAUGUUCAAGUAGAGAGGUUUUGCCUCAAGAAAGCGUUGGGCUUCUGGCUGUCACUAAUUACUCAAUCAAGCUUAAAAUAAGGAAACCCUAAUUUUAUAUAUAUAAGUUCUCCUUUUGGGACAAUUACACCAAAUACUUAAGUCUUAAAUAACCAACAACAUCCAAAAUAUGGUAGAAGUACUCUAAAACCUUGUAUAUCCUUGUGUGGAAAUUCUCCCGAACCUCAACACCUCAUAACUCUUGAUCCAACUGUCCAAAUAAGAUCAAAAUUUACAUGAAGUACUGAUAUGUUGUUGUUAAUUUCUACAACAAAUUUCAACCGCAAAUUCUUUGCGGAUCUUGAGAUAUCUUCAAAACCCUAACAGUCGCUUCAAACCCUAAUCUUUAUAUACCCGCGUGCAAUUUUCUUCAUAUCUCACAAAUCAUAAGUCCAAAUGCCACGAAACUUGUAUAGAUAGCUUUUUAACACAAAUUUUUACAUUCUCCCAAAGUUUGAGCCAAAAUUUCGUUCGAAAACUCACUUAUGGCUCCUAACACUACUUUGAACAAAACCGCUCACUUACUGCCUUUGAUUUGAAUGCGCUGUCUUUAACUUCCUAUAACUCCUUCACAUAAACUCCAAAUGCAAAAUUUCCUUCGCAAAAGAUGUAUGUCUUAAAGUUGCCCUUCCAGCCGCACCUUCCGAUCUCCAAAAGCUUCCGUAAGACUCCUCUUAAACUCAAAAGAGUAACAGUAGGUCUCAAAUUGACACCUUAACUUCAAACGGCUAUAACUUAUUCACCCUAACUCCAAACCCUAUAAAAUUUGCACAAAAAUUGUAGCCAAAACCCUAAACUUUACAAUCCUUGCCUCUGAUUUCCUAAAGGCCUCUUUGAAGUCGCCGAAACCCU
This 1263-nucleotide long non-coding RNA is filed under the name Physcomitrium patens. Its description in RNAcentral is "long non-coding RNA (PPAT_LNC011365)". The record is from RNAcentral. Lineage: Eukaryota; Viridiplantae; Streptophyta; Bryopsida; Funariales; Funariaceae.